CUUAAGUCAAUUUUGUAGUUUCACGCAUAGAUUAAAAUAGCAACGGACAGGGAAUUUUCACAGGCUGGAUCACUUUGGAAACUCCCACAGAAGCAUUAUGUGGGUCUGAUCAUGCCAAAUAUGCCAGUACAGUAUCAAAGCGACAGUGCGACACGCAUGAACUGAGGAACAGUUGCAUUUAACCCUAUAAAUUAGCGAAACGAACAUCUUUCCUGCAAUUACUGGUCAUACGCAUUAUUGAACUAUGGCUGGCAUCCUCAAGAUCUACUUUAUCGGGACAGUGUUUUCGCUUCUGGUGGCUCUGUUUGGAUUGGUUGACUCUGUCGGAGGUCUGAUGUAUCCUCAAGGAUCUGCUCUGGCAAACGAUAGCCACGCAGAGAAACAUGCUUCAGUUUCUCCAUCGCGGACGGCUAACGCAGCCAUCAGGAAGCGCAUGGGCUCAUGAUGAUCCGAUGCGUGGACGUUCUUUUCAAUGCACUAAGGACUACAUUUUCGUCCUGUCGUUUGUCUAUGUGCACUUCAUCAAAUAUGCAUCAAAUAGUGGCAUACGUGUGAAGAACAGCAAUGAGAUCUACUGGUACAAAUAUAUCAGGAAUACUAUACAUUUUUACCUUUUUGGAUGUUUAUCGUGUUUAUGUGAUGAGCUUGGCUGACUUGACAGAAAAUACAUUGGCAGCUGUACAAAGGAAAUGGAAGCUAUAUACUUGCUUUAAGGAUAAAAACACCACAAACAUGCUGCAUGAACAAUACUGUAAAAUGUUAAAAUUUUGACGUUUUUGUAAUGGUGUUUUAAAGUUGCAAAUUGCACUUUUUAUGGUUAAAAUUGAGAAAAUGUAGUUAUAGACAAUUAUUGUCCUUAACUUACUCCAAAUUCCCUGUUGAAAAAAACAGCAUAUGCUAGGUUAGGUAUGUUUUGAUGCUGGUUUGACCAGCUUAUCCAGCACAUGACCAGCAUGAACCAGCAUCAAAGCACACCAACCUAGAAUAUGCUGUUUUUUUCAACAGGGUUGUUAAAGUAAGCUUACUGUAUAAGAACAAUAUAUAAUUUGAGCUUUUGUGUUGUAUAUGCAAAAGUUGUGGAUUGCACCUAUAAGUUUGGGACUUAAUAUAUUGUCUGACACUCAAGGACAUUCAAAUAACUAAUGUUUUGUAACUACACUUACUUUUUAUGACACAUUGUUUACCAUAAGAAACUCUCAAGCAAAUGUUUUUGUUAUUUGUUGGUACUAAAUACGUCGUUUAAUUGUUUUGUCUGUUCCUCACAUUUUCACUAAUGUCUGAAAGAUAACAACAUUCCAACUGACCAAACAAAUGCUCUGUUACUGCUCACUGUUUUAUAAACAACUGAAUAAAAAGCAUCAAAACA
Molecule: long non-coding RNA, 1366 nt
Organism: Triplophysa rosa
Lineage: Eukaryota; Metazoa; Chordata; Actinopteri; Cypriniformes; Nemacheilidae
Exons: 2
Source: RefSeq, a predicted model, not a curated record